Molecule: non-coding RNA, 72 nt
Organism: Treponema sp. CETP13
Lineage: Bacteria; Pseudomonadati; Spirochaetota; Spirochaetia; Treponematales; Treponemataceae
Source: Rfam
GGUCCCUUCGUCUAACGGCUAGGACAAAAGAUUCUCAUUCUUUAAAUAGGAGUUCGAUUCUCCUAGGGACUG